Saccoglossus kowalevskii is the source of this 410-nucleotide long non-coding RNA. The record is from RefSeq and is a predicted model, not a curated record. NCBI's taxonomy places the organism in Eukaryota, Metazoa, Hemichordata, Enteropneusta, Harrimaniidae.
UUAUACAGUUUUCUUAACAUCCUGACAAGACAAUUUGUUAUCAAGGGAAAAAGGACAAUGACAAGCCAUAUGUUGUAUAUUGCAUUUACCUUGAUGAUGGUCUGUGUGCUCACAGUCACUGCCCAGGAGAAGGAGGAAGGCUCCGAACCCUUUGAGGCGGAUUUAGGCGAACGUGCAACAAGCACCAAGGUUUGGUAUGACCCAGCUGGUUGUCAAAAGAAAUAUCCUUCGGCUCCGUAUAGAUGUGCAGGGGGUCUACGAUGCAUUAGCAAGGACUCGAUUUGCAAUGGUCGCAAAGCCUGUGGUGAUGGAAGCGAUGAAUGGAACUGUCAAUAAUGCAUAGAGUACAAACUAAAUUGUAAUCUGUUAGCAUAAUUUGAAUGCAUUAAAUCAAAUAUUUUUGGAAUGUC